AGAGUUUGAUCCUGGCUCAGAUUGAACGCUGGCGGAAUGCUUUACACAUGCAAGUCGAACGGCAGCACGGGAGCUUGCUCCUGGUGGCGAGUGGCGAACGGGUGAGUAAUAUAGCGGAACAUAUCCUAUCGUGGGGGAUAACUAGUCGAAAGACUAGCUAAUACCGCAUACGUCCUGAGGGAGAAAGCGGGGGCUCGCAAGACCUCGCGCGAUUGGAGUGGCCGAUAUCUGAUUAGCUAGAUGGUGAGGUAAAGGCUCACCAUGGCUUCGAUCAGUAGCUGGUCUGAGAGGAUGAUCAGCCACACUGGGACUGAGACACGGCCCAGACUCCUACGGGAGGCAGCAGUGGGGAAUUUUGGACAAUGGGCGAAAGCCUGAUCCAGCCAUUCCGCGUGAGUGAAGAAGGCCUUCGGGUUGUAAAGCUCUUUCGGCAGGAACGAAACGGCGGAUAUUAAUACUAUCCGUUACUGACGGUACCUGAAGAAGAAGCACCGGCUAACUACGUGCCAGCAGCCGCGGUAAUAC
Molecule: ribosomal RNA, 525 nt
Filed under: uncultured Thiobacillus sp.
Lineage: Bacteria; Pseudomonadati; Pseudomonadota; Betaproteobacteria; Nitrosomonadales; Thiobacillaceae
Description: bacterial SSU rRNA
Rfam family: Bacterial small subunit ribosomal RNA
Source: RNAcentral